RNAcentral lists this ribosomal RNA (308 nucleotides) under uncultured eukaryote. Its description in RNAcentral is "partial 18S ribosomal RNA". It matches the Rfam family "Eukaryotic small subunit ribosomal RNA", at positions 1470 to 1796 of the family's 1831-position model. The record is from RNAcentral.
CCCUUAGACGUUCUGGGCCGCACGCGCGCUACACUGACGAAGGCAACGAGCUUUCCUUUACCGAAAGGUACGGGUAAUCUUUUGAAACUUCGUCGUGCUGGGGAUAGAUCCUUGCAAUUUUUGAUCUUAAACGAGGAAUGCCUAGUAAGCGCAAGUCAUCAACUUGCGUUGAUUACGUCCCUGCCCUUUGUACACACCGCCCGUCGCUACUACCGAUUGAAUGGUUUAGUGAGGCCUUCGGAUCCGCGACUCGUUUUGUGGAGAAGUUGGACAAACUCAGUCAUUUAGAGGAAGUAAAAGUCGUANCA